AGCGAACGCUGGCGGCAGGCCUAACACAUGCAAGUCGAACGAUCCUUCGGGAUAGUGGCGGACGGGUGAGUAACACGUGGGAACGUGCCCUUUGGUUCGGAACAACUCAGGGAAACUUGAGCUAAUACCGAAUGUGCCCUUCGGGGGAAAGAUUUAUCGCCAUUGGAGCGGCCCGCGUCUGAUUAGCUAGUUGGUGAGGUAAAGGCUCACCAAGGCUACGAUCAGUAGCUGGUCUGAGAGGAUGAUCAGCCACAUUGGGACUGAGACACGGCCCAAACUCCUACGGGAGGCAGCAGUGGGGAAUCUUGCGCAAUGGGCGAAAGCCUGACGCAGCCAUGCCGCGUGAAUGAUGAAGGUCUUAGGAUUGUAAAAUUCUUUCACCGGGGACGAUAAUGACGGUACCCGGAGAAGAAGCCCCGGCUAACUUCGUGCCAGCAGCCGCGGUAAUACGAAGGGGGCUAGCGUUGCUCGGAAUUACUGGGCGUAAAGGGCGCGUAGGCGGACAGUUUAGUCAGAGGUGAAAGCCCAGGGCUCAACCUUGGAAUUGCCUUUUGAUACUGGCUGUCNUUGAGUACGGAAGANGUGUGUGGAACUCCGAGUGUAGAGGUGAAAUUCGUAGAUAUUCGGAAGAACACCAGUGGCGAAGGCGACACACUGGUCCCNUUACUGACGCUGAGGCGCGAAAGCGUGGGGAGCAAACAGG
Molecule: ribosomal RNA, 703 nt
Filed under: uncultured Caulobacteraceae bacterium
Lineage: Bacteria; Pseudomonadati; Pseudomonadota; Alphaproteobacteria; Caulobacterales; Caulobacteraceae
Description: bacterial SSU rRNA
Rfam family: Bacterial small subunit ribosomal RNA
Source: RNAcentral